This 568-nucleotide ribosomal RNA is filed under the name uncultured archaeon. Its description in RNAcentral is "bacterial SSU rRNA". It matches the Rfam family "Archaeal small subunit ribosomal RNA", at positions 312 to 879 of the family's 1478-position model. The record is from RNAcentral.
GCGAAUUCGCCCUUCGGGGUGCACAGGCGCGAAACCUCUGCAAUGCGCGAAAGCGUGACAGGGGAAGUCUGAGUGGCGGAAACUUAGUUUCCGUCUUUUGCCAAGUGUAAACGGCUUGGAAAAUAAGGGUGUGGGCAAUACUGGUGGCAGCCGCCGCGGUAACACCAGCGCCUCGGGUGGUACCCACGAAUAUUGGGCCUAAAGCGUCCGUAGCUGGACCUCUAAGUCCGCUGUGAAAUGUUGGAGCUCAACUCUAACGCGUGCAAUGCAUACUGUUGGUCUUGGGAACGGGGGAGGGUCGGGGUACUUCCAGGGUAGGGGUAAAAUCCGUUGAUCCUGAAAGGACCACCAGUGGCGAAGGCGCCAAUCCAAAACGUGUCCGACGGUGAGGGACCAAAGCUGGGGGAGCGAACGGGAUUACAUACCCCGGUAGUCCCAGCUGUAAAUGAUGCGGACUGUGGUGUUACACAUGAGUAAUCAUGUGUAGUGCUGUAGCGUAGGUGUUAAGUCUGCCGCCUGGGGAGUACGAUCGCAAGAUUUAAACUUAAAGGAAUUGGCGGGGGAGCAC